GCUUACAGCCAUACCAUCCUGAACCCGCCUGAUCUCGUCAGAUCUCGGAAGCUUUUAUAUGCAGAUUGAAAUGGGUCCACUUUACUUUGCACCUCACCGAGAACAUGAUCUAACACUGUUAUCU
Molecule: ribosomal RNA, 124 nt
Filed under: Amphilophus citrinellus (Midas cichlid)
Lineage: Eukaryota; Metazoa; Chordata; Actinopteri; Cichliformes; Cichlidae
Source: RNAcentral